CGGGGCAUGGCUCAGCUUGGCUUAGAGCGCCUGGUUUGGGACCAGGAUGUCGGUGGUUCGAAUCCACCUGCCCCGACCA
This 79-nucleotide transfer RNA is filed under the name Candidatus Omnitrophota bacterium. RNAcentral describes it as "Candidatus Omnitrophica bacterium tRNA-Pro". It matches the Rfam family "tRNA". Rfam says of the family: Transfer RNA (tRNA) molecules are approximately 80 nucleotides in length. Their secondary structure includes four short double-helical elements and three loops (D, anti-codon, and T loops). Lineage: Bacteria; Pseudomonadati; Candidatus Omnitrophota. The record is from RNAcentral.